Lachancea mirantina is the source of this 104-nucleotide transfer RNA. It matches the Rfam family "tRNA". Rfam says of the family: Transfer RNA (tRNA) molecules are approximately 80 nucleotides in length. Lineage: Eukaryota; Fungi; Ascomycota; Saccharomycetes; Saccharomycetales; Saccharomycetaceae. The record is from Rfam.
GGUAGUUUGGCCGAGUUGGUUAAGGCGAAAGACUUGAAUGGAGCUUUUAUUCCAAGGAUAUCUUUUGGGCUUUGCCCGCGCAGGUUCGAAUCCUGCAGCUAUCG